RNAcentral lists this ribosomal RNA (253 nucleotides) under uncultured bacterium. RNAcentral describes it as "partial 16S ribosomal RNA". It matches the Rfam family "Bacterial small subunit ribosomal RNA", at positions 524 to 776 of the family's 1533-position model. The record is from RNAcentral.
UACGGAGGGUGCAAGCGUUAUCCGGAUUCACUGGGUUUAAAGGGUGCGUAGGCGGGCAGGUAAGUCCGUGGUGAAAUCUCUGAGCUUAACUCAGAAACUGCCAUGGAUACUAUUUGUCUUGAAUGUUGUGGAGGUAAGCGGAAUAUGUCAUGUAGCGGUGAAAUGCUUAGAUAUGACAUAGAACACCAAUUGCGAAAGCAGCUUACUACACAAAUAUUGACGCUGAGGCACGAAAGCGUGGGGAUCAAACAGG